GUGUGACACUGUGCAAGCCGUUUAAACUCUCUGGAUAUCUUUUCGCUAGAAAAUAAAAAUGUUGAUCUCUAAUGUCAUUUUCAAUAUUAAUAUUCUAUGAUUCCACUAAACCAGAGUCAACCUAAUAAAAACUAAAUUGUAUUACAAGAUGGAGUUAGGAAAACACUGGAAAUAUAUAAUAAAUUUUCAGUAGGCUUACAUUUAAUAAAGGGCCUUUUUUACUUUAUUUUGAAAAUAGCGAGCUAAGAAGUGAAGAAAUAAGUAAACGUUUUAAAGAUUAGCAGAAUAUGACUGUCAGAAUUCUGUUUAAUUACAUAGUUAGAUUUCAUCACAUGAUAACAAAAAUGUAAGAAAAUCAUAUAAUUCUACAGUGCUAGCAAUAGCAAAUUACUUGUGGGAAAAUCAUCAAUUAAGUUGUUCAAAAAUCUCAAUCUCGCAAAGUCGUGGUGUAAAGUAGUAUUUUUAAACUGCUUUACAUUUUUUUAAGUGAUGAAGCAAACUUUAAUUUAGCACAAGUAUAAAUUAUCCUCCUUGUAGCAAUACUAUUUGUGCAUUUCUUAGAAUUAUGAAUAAGACAUUGAUGAUAAUAGAUUAGGUUUAUCUAUUAAGAAAUGAGAUAUAAAAAUUAUGAAUUCAGAAGAAGGUAAUUCUUCAACUAUGUAUUUCACAUAUUUUUACUCAGGGGAAAAAUCACACAGACAGAUUUAAAAAUAAUUUAAUUUUCUAAUUUUAUUAUUGCCUCAUUAUUAUAAUAUUUUCUGUUCUAGCAGAAACUCACAUUUAUGUUCCAGGAACAGCUAUUCCUUUACAUUUUAUUCCAAAAAGUGAUUCAACUAGUAUUUAAGUACAGAUGUCCCCAAACUAUUAUUUAUCUGGAAUAAAUUGUAACUAAAAAUAAAGUAUGCCAGAUCGUAUAUUUUCCCACAGAAGCAAAUUUAUGAAGGGUGUUUUAACAACCCUUAACAAGGGGCCAAAGUUAUUUUUAUCAAAAUGAUCAUAAAAAUUAUGUUUAAUCAACUACAAAUGACAUCCCUUGAUAAUGCACAGUAUGAAUUCACAAAGUAUAUACAAAUUAAUUAAAUAAAGAUUUACAGAAAGCAAACACAUAACACAAUUUCAUAUAUUUUAGAGAUUAAUAUGGAUAAGGAUUUUGCGAGAAGGGAUAAUUCUGUGCAGAUCUACCAGAAAAAAAAAAAAAGGUAAAUUUAGUGGAACAAAUAGAGUGGGUCAAAAGGCAGAAAUGUGUGUAUAUGUUUGUGUUUGUGUGUGUGUAUGUUAAGGUUGGGGUGGAGGGGGCCUCUGCAGGUCCUGGGAGCUCUCCUGUCAUCUGCAGCAAAGAUGACCCUAGCUUUCCGACUGUCAGGGAGCAGCUGAUUUGUUGAUGUCAUUUAUGCAAUCCCUGCAUAACUAAAAUAAUGAUAGAGUGUCUUAUAACUGGGAAGAAUCAUAUUCUACUCUAGUUCUUCACCAAAAUGUGGAGGUCCAUUCCCCCCACUCCACCCAUUGAUAUGCAUAUUUUUGACAAGAGUAAAGAAUUGUUUUUUGAACUAUACAAUAGAUGUGUAAAUCUGAAUUUGAUUAAUCGAAUUAUGAUUUCAUAUUGACCCAUAUUAUGUUAAUAUCCAAUUGAUAUUUAAUAUUAAGACACUACUAUCAGUUUGUUUCAUAUUUUUCUUGUCUUUUAGUUCUUCUGUCAAGUAGCUCAUGAUCUGGAACCACCAUAAAAACUUUCUGAAGAUGUUUUGAGAGAAAUUCUUCCAUGACUUUAAAAAAAAAAUUAAAACAUUAUCUCAGUCUUUUUUUUUUUGCCUGAAUUUGAGUUUUUAAAUUUCAACAUUAGCACAACUACAGGGUUAUACACUUUGCUCCAUUCAAUGCACAAUUCUGUGUCAACAGAAAGGGUCGAUUUUAUGCUCCAAAUCUAAAAUCAUCAUACAAGCAGAAAACAGAUUGAGAAAGUUCAUUGUAUCAACACUAAAAUUGGCCAAAAAUAAUGAUUAGAAAAUUUAAGUCCAUUCAUUCUUCUGACAACCGGGAUGUAGAAUAUGAACUAGGGAAGCAGGCAUAGAAGAUAAAUUAAAAUAAAAACAUUAUUUAAACAAUUAUUAGAAGGAACAUUACUAUUACAAAUGUAUUCUUCCUCUCCUUCAACUAUUUACAUGAAGUUAAAAUCUUAAAAUUGGGGAAAAGUGCUUGGACAUUACAAGUAAAAUGUGGUUUUUAUAUUAUUUAGCAAUUUUAACUUAUUUCUUAUUUAUCUGAACUUCAGUUAAUUUAAAUACUUACAUACUGAAGUUUAUAAGGAAAAACUUGAUGUGUAAGGUAUUUUAAUGUAAAAAAGGUCAUUAUCCAAAUUUCUGUUGACGAUGGAGGCUUUUCAACGUUCACAUGAAAAAAUAUGGCCCUGAUGUUAUCAAUUAUCUAACAUAGUUGUGACAAAUAUCGUAAAUAAUGACAUCAUAAAGUGUUGUGAAGUGGCAAAGAUCCCCAAAAUAACCACCACGAUUACAGUAUGAUGAAUUAAUAGGACUACAAAACACACGUGCCUACUUAAUUUUUUUUACUUUGACUAUCACUUUAGAAUAAAUAAGUUUGAAUUUCAAAGACCUUCUGACGAUGUAAGAGUAAAAAAGCUUGUACCAAUCGUUCAUGACCUGCAAGUUUAGUGAAUUGCCCCAGAAAGCUUCUCUAUUGAUAUUAUUGGUGUUCAGUCCAGGAAGAAUAGGAGCAUUCGAAAAAUAUGGGAAAACAGUUAAAUGUACAGGGCUUAUUUAUUUUGAGGAUAUGUGGUGUUUCUCAACUCCCAUGAUGUGUAACAGGGAGACUAGAUGGAGCCAAGAAGGCAUUCCUGGGCCAGGGGCCUUGUACUAGGAAAUACUAUUCCUGGACGUUUCAUCACCUUCAAAAAAGUUAAAAUAUCCAUGAUUUUCAGUUUUCU
Molecule: long non-coding RNA, 2938 nt
Organism: Galeopterus variegatus (Sunda flying lemur)
Lineage: Eukaryota; Metazoa; Chordata; Mammalia; Dermoptera; Cynocephalidae
Exons: 2
Source: RefSeq, a predicted model, not a curated record